CCUACGGGAGGCAGCAGUGGGGAAUUUUGGACAAUGGGCGCAAGCCUGAUCCAGCCAUUCCGCGUGAGUGAAGAAGGCCUUCGGGUUGUAAAGCUCUUUCGCAAGAGAAGAAAACUUACUUUCUAAUAAAGAGUGAGGUUGACGGUAUCUUGAUAAGAAGCACCGGCUAACUACGUGCCAGCAGCCGCGGUAAUACGUAGGGUGCGAGCGUUAAUCGGAAUUACUGGGCGUAAAGCGUGCGCAGGCUGUUUUGUAGGUCAGAUGUGAAAUCCCCGAGCUCAACUUGGGAACUGCGUUUGAAACUACAAGACUAGAAUAUGUCAGAGGGGGGUAGAAUUCCACGUGUAGCAGUGAAAUGCGUAGAGAUGUGGAGGAAUACCAAUGGCGAAGGCAGCCCCCUGGGAUAAUAUUGACGCUCAUGCACGAAAGCGUGGGGAGCAAACAGGAUUAGAUACCCUGGUAGUCCACGCCCUAAACGAUGUCUACUAGUUGUUGGUGGAGUAAAAUCCAUGAGUAACCGNAGNAGCGCGUGAGUAGACCGCCGNGGGAGGUACGGUCGCGAGAAGUUAAACGUUAAAGUUAGUAAGUUAGUACGGACGUAGAGACGUUAGCCGACGGACGACGACGAGGGAGGAGGG
RNAcentral lists this ribosomal RNA (638 nucleotides) under uncultured bacterium. RNAcentral's name for it is "bacterial SSU rRNA". The stretch from base 1 to 543 matches the Rfam family "Bacterial small subunit ribosomal RNA", at positions 338 to 873 of the family's 1533-position model. The record is from RNAcentral.